UUGAACAGUUCCAGCGUGGCAGGUACAAAACAUGGCGUUCUCCAACGACCAGCGGUGCGUUUUCCCGACCGACGACCUCGAACCCCACGGCCAGCACCCCGAGCAGCAGCAAUCCACGACAAUUUCUUCAUUUCGACACGUUUUGACGUUGACCCACUCUUAUUCGGACCCAAAUCGGCGUUACCCAUCGCUCUUUGUGCCAAGACAGCCAGCCUAACGCUUUUCGAACUCGAAUUUGGGAGCCUGAAACCUCCUUGGCGUCUACCCAUUUCAAACCCAAGUUGUUUCAGUGAGAGUUAGAAGUGUUCAACGAGCUUAGGAGCUUUAGGACACUUGUUUGUAAGUAGCACGGGGGCGGGUGUGUGCGUUGAUGUUUAUUAUUUGGUUGCCGAUGUACUGUUUAUGAUGUUUAAUAUUGGUUCUGAUACGUUCUUGUGCAGUGUAACUUUUGUUUAUGUUGGUUCGUAUGCCUGGGUAGUGUUGAAUAUCCGUCGGUGAUAAUAGUGGAAAUUUUGUAUUGUUGAGCUGCUGAGAUCUGUUGUAGAAUGAUGUAUGUUUGUAGGGAAUGUUCGUUAAAGUAAAUUUAUUUUGGGAAUGUUUGUUGUCUGAAUUUGUAUGAAGUGUUUGGCGUGUCUCAUGAGUCUUAUUAUAUCUAGUAAUGCUUAUUGAAUAUAGAUGUUGGAUAUUAAGUGUUUGGAUGGAUUGUGUUGGGCGUGUUCUUGAAAGUUUUCUGAACUGCUAUGUGAAAAGUAUGUUAUGUGAAACAUGCCAUAGGAUUAUUCGUUGAAGCUUUAGUGUGCUCUAUGUUGUGAGUAGGUUGGUUGUUAUCAAAUUUUGUGUUAUGGAGAUUCGUGAUGCAUUGAAAUCUUACUAGUGGUUGUGUUGUUGAUGGGCGUUGUGGUGGUUGGUGUUAUUAGGGAAUUAAUACUGGAAUCUUGGUUGGAGGCUAGAAAUGAUAUGUGGAGUUUUGGAAGUUAUGAAGUGAAUGGAUGUGUGUCAAGGCCUCGGGUAUAAAUGGUCGAGGGUCGAUGCACUAGUGUCGGGGCUCUGGGUAAAAAUGGUCAGGGGCCGACACUACCAACAGAUCCCACCUAAGAUGGUUUAUGCAUGAUUGUUUUGGCAAUAAACCUUUUUGUUCUAAGUGAAUUGAGGGGAGAUCCCACCUAUUGUUUAAACUUGACUCGAAAUAAGUGUUUCUUUCAUUUUCUUUCGUUCACUGAAAUCGUUUAGUAUGAAUAAUGGAUGUUGCCUGGUGGUGUUGUCCACGGAGGACGCUUGAAUGAUAGUUUAUAGAAUUGAUGUUUUAUUUUUGUUAUA
Momordica charantia (bitter melon) is the source of this 1317-nucleotide non-coding RNA. The record is from RefSeq and is a predicted model, not a curated record. Lineage: Eukaryota; Viridiplantae; Streptophyta; Magnoliopsida; Cucurbitales; Cucurbitaceae.